UACGGGGGGGGGCAAGCGUUGUUCGGAAUUACUGGGCGUAAAGGGCUCGUAGGCGGCCAACUAAGUCAGACGUGAAAUCCCUCGGCUCAACUGAGGAAGUGCAUCCGAAACUGGCAGGCUUGAGUACUAAAGAGGGUCGCGGAAUUCCCGGUGUAGAGGUGAAAUUCGUAGAUAUCGGGAGGAACACCGGUGGCGAAGGCGGCGACCUGGGUAGAUACUGACGCUGAGGUGCGAAAGCGUGGGGAGCAAACAGGG
This 255-nucleotide ribosomal RNA is filed under the name uncultured bacterium. RNAcentral's name for it is "partial 16S ribosomal RNA". It matches the Rfam family "Bacterial small subunit ribosomal RNA", at positions 524 to 777 of the family's 1533-position model. The record is from RNAcentral.